Molecule: ribosomal RNA, 217 nt
Filed under: uncultured bacterium
Lineage: Bacteria
Description: partial 16S ribosomal RNA
Rfam family: Bacterial small subunit ribosomal RNA
Source: RNAcentral
UAACCUGCCUGGUAGCGGGGGAUAACUAUUGGAAACGAUAGCUAAUACCGCAUAAGAGUAGAUGUUGCAUGACAUCUACUUAAAAGGUGCAAUUGCAUCACUACCAGAUGGACCUGCGUUGUAUUAGCUAGUUGGUGAGGUAACGGCUCACCAAGGCAACGAUACAUAGCCGACCUGAGAGGGUGAUCGGCCACACUGGGACUGAGACACGGCCCAG